Molecule: ribosomal RNA, 252 nt
Filed under: uncultured Mogibacterium sp.
Lineage: Bacteria; Bacillati; Bacillota; Clostridia; Peptostreptococcales; Anaerovoracaceae
Description: partial 16S ribosomal RNA
Rfam family: Bacterial small subunit ribosomal RNA
Source: RNAcentral
UACGGAGGAUGCGAGCGUUGUCCGGAAUUAUUGGGCGUAAAGAGUACGUAGGCGGUCUGUUAAGCGCAAGGUGAAAGGCAUAGGCUCAACCAAUGUGAGCCUUGCGAACUGGCAGACUUGAGUGCAGGAGAGGAAAGUGGAAUUCCUAGUGUAGCGGUGAAAUGCGUAGAGAUUAGGAAGAACACCAGUGGCGAAGGCGACUUACUGGACUGUAACUGACGCUGAGGCAUGAGAGCAUGGGGAGCAAACAGG